Molecule: unclassified non-coding RNA, 321 nt
Filed under: Hevea brasiliensis (rubber tree)
Lineage: Eukaryota; Viridiplantae; Streptophyta; Magnoliopsida; Malpighiales; Euphorbiaceae
Source: RNAcentral
GGAAAGUCCAGAUAAGGAUCCUUAACUGAAUUUUUCUUGGCUGUUUUUCUAUCUUGGCUACCUAUGAUUGCUAAUUAGGGCUCAAGAACAGAGAACCCAAUGAUCUUAAAAAAUCUGAGAUUUCUGUGGAAAAUACUGCUUACAUUCAACACUGUAACAUAGUAAUAAAUAUAACAUAGGAAUUUGGAGAACUGCUCCUAAAAGUUCUUAUAAUUCUCAGUAUCCUUAACUGACAUAUGUUCCUAAGCCUUAGGAUCCAUUUGACUUAGUUCAAUUGACCAAUAAACAACUACUACAAUACUCAACUCAACUAAGCUUUUA